UACGGAGGGGGCUAGCGUUGUUCGGAAUUACUGGGCGUAAAGCGCACGUAGGCGGGUCGCUAAGUCGGGGGUGAAAUCCUGGAGCUCAACUCCAGAACUGCCUUCGAAACUGUCGAUCUUGAGUUCGGGAGAGGUGAGUGGAACUGCGAGUGUAGAGGUGAAAUUCGUAGAUAUUCGCAAGAACACCAGUGGCGAAGGCGGCUCACUGGCCCGAUACUGACGCUGAGGUGCGAAAGCGUGGGGAGCAAACAGG
Molecule: ribosomal RNA, 253 nt
Filed under: uncultured bacterium
Lineage: Bacteria
Description: partial 16S ribosomal RNA
Rfam family: Bacterial small subunit ribosomal RNA
Source: RNAcentral